UGCCUCAGUAACGGCGAGUGAAGCGGCAACAGCUCAAAUUUGAAAUCUGGCUCUCGGGCCCGAGUUGUAAUUUGUAGAGGAUGCUUUUGGUGAGGUGCCUUCCGAGUUCCCUGGAACGGGACGCCACAGAGGGUGAGAGCCCCGUCUGGUUGGACACCGAGCCUCUGUAAAGCUCCUUCGACGAGUCGAGUAGUUUGGGAAUGCUGCUCUAAAUGGGAGGUAUAUGUCUUCUAAAGCUAAAUACCGGCCAGAGACCGAUAGCGCACAAGUAGAGUGAUCGAAAGAUGAAAAGAACUUUGAAAAGAGAGUUAAACAGUACGUGAAAUUGUUGAAAGGGAAGCGCUUGUGACCAGACUUGGGCUUGGUUGAUCAUCCGGGGUUCUCCCCGGUGCACUCUUCCGGCCCAGGCCAGCAUCAGUUCGCCCUGGGGGACAAAGGCAGCGGGAAUGUGGCUCUCUCCGGGGAGUGUUAUAGCCCGCUGCGUAAUACCCUGCGGCGGACUGAGGUUCGCGCAUUCGCAAGGAUGCUGGCGUAAUGGUCAUCAGUGACCCGUCUUGAAACACGGACCAAGGAGUCGUCUUCGUAUGCGAGUGUUCGGGUGUCAAACCCCUACGCGAAAUGAAAGUGAACGCAGGUGAGAGCUUCGGCGCAUCAUCGACCGAUCCUGAUGUUAUCGGAUGGAUUUGAGUAAGAGCAUACGGGGCCGGACCCGAAAGAAGGUGAACUAUGCCUGUGUAGGGUGAAGCCAGAGGAAACUCUGGUGGAGGCUCGCAGCGGUUCUGACGUGCAAAUCGAUCGUCAAACAUGGGCAUGGGGGCGAAAGACUAAUCGAACCUUCUAGUAGCUGGUUUCCGCCGAAGUUUCCCUCAGGAUAGCAGUGUUGAACUCAGUUUUAUGAGGUAAAGCGAAUGAUUAGGGACUCGGGGGCGCUAUUUAGCCUUCAUCCAUUCUCAAACUUUAAAUAUGUAAGAAGCCCUUGUUGCUUAA
Molecule: ribosomal RNA, 987 nt
Filed under: Fusarium solani
Lineage: Eukaryota; Fungi; Ascomycota; Sordariomycetes; Hypocreales; Nectriaceae
Description: partial large subunit ribosomal RNA
Rfam family: Eukaryotic large subunit ribosomal RNA
Source: RNAcentral